RNAcentral lists this ribosomal RNA (1339 nucleotides) under Lactobacillus helveticus. Its description in RNAcentral is "16S ribosomal RNA". It matches the Rfam family "Bacterial small subunit ribosomal RNA". Lineage: Bacteria; Bacillati; Bacillota; Bacilli; Lactobacillales; Lactobacillaceae. The record is from RNAcentral.
GAGCGGCGGAUGGGUGAGUAACACGUGGGGAACCUGCCCCAUAGUCUGGGAUACCACUUGGAAACAGGUGCUAAUACCGGAUAAGAAAGCAGAUCGCAUGAUCAGCUUAUAAAAGGCGGCGUAAGCUGUCGCUAUGGGAUGGCCCCGCGGUGCAUUAGCUAGUUGGUAAGGUAACGGCUUACCAAGGCAAUGAUGCAUAGCCGAGUUGAGAGACUGAUCGGCCACAUUGGGACUGAGACACGGCCCAAACUCCUACGGGAGGCAGCAGUAGGGAAUCUUCCACAAUGGACGCAAGUCUGAUGGAGCAACGCCGCGUGAGUGAAGAAGGUUUUCGGAUCGUAAAGCUCUGUUGUUGGUGAAGAAGGAUAGAGGUAGUAACUGGCCUUUAUUUGACGGUAAUCAACCAGAAAGUCACGGCUAACUACGUGCCAGCAGCCGCGGUAAUACGUAGGUGGCAAGCGUUGUCCGGAUUUAUUGGGCGUAAAGCGAGCGCAGGCGGAAGAAUAAGUCUGAUGUGAAAGCCCUCGGCUUAACCCGAGGAACUGCAUCGGAAACUGUUUUUCUUGAGUGCAGAAGAGGAGAGUGGAACUCCAUGUGUAGCGGUGGAAUGCGUAGAUAUAUGGAAGAACACCAGUGGCGAAGGCGACUCUCUGGUCUGCAACUGACGCUGAGGCUCGAAAGCAUGGGUAGCGAACAGGAUUAGAUGUGCUGCAGCUAACGCAUUAAGCACUCCGCCUGGGGAGUACGACCGCAAGGUUGAAACUCAAAGGAAUUGACGGGGGCCCGCACAAGCGGUGGAGCAUGUGGUUUAAUUCGAAGCAACGCGAAGAACCUUACCAGGUCUUGACAUCUAGUGCCAUCCUAAGAGAUUAGGAGUUCCCUUCGGGGACGCUAAGACAGGUGGUGCAUGGCUGUCGUCAGCUCGUGUCGUGAGAUGUUGGGUUAAGUCCCGCAACGAGCGCAACCCUUGUUAUUAGUUGCCAGCAUUAAGUUGGGCACUCUAAUGAGACUGCCGGUGAUAAACCGGAGGAAGGUGGGGAUGACGUCAAGUCAUCAUGCCCCUUAUGACCUGGGCUACACACGUGCUACAAUGGACAGUACAACGAGAAGCGAGCCUGCGAAGGCAAGCGAAUCUCUGAAAGCUGUUCUCAGUUCGGACUGCAGUCUGCAACUCGACUGCACGAAGCUGGAAUCGCUAGUAAUCGCGGAUCAGAACGCCGCGGUGAAUACGUUCCCGGGCCUUGUACACACCGCCCGUCACACCAUGGAAGUCUGCAAUGCCCAAAGCCGGUGGCCUAACCUUCGGGAAGGAGCCGUCUAAGGCAGGGCAGAUGACUGG